AGCUCCAAUAGCGUAUAUUAAUGUUGUUGCAGUUAAAAAGCUCGUAGUUGAAAUAUGAAUAUUUUUAUAAUUUUUUAUUUAUUUAAUUUAAAAUUUUAAAAAUUUCGUUUCCAAUAUUAUAUUAUGAGUAUUCAUUUAUUUAUAAUAUUAAUUUUGGUCAUUUACUGUGAGAAAAUUAGAGUGUUCAAAGCAAACUUGUGUUUGAAUAUAUUAGCAUGGAAUAAUAAUAUAAGACUUAUAUAUUAUAUUUUUGGUUAAAAUUAUAUAAGUAAGAUUAAAAGGGACAGUUGGGGGUAUUCAUAUUCAAUAGUUAGAGGUGAAAUUCUCGGAUUUAUGGAAGAUGAACUAGUGCGAAAGCAUUUACCAAGGAUGUUUUCA
RNAcentral lists this ribosomal RNA (378 nucleotides) under uncultured eukaryote. RNAcentral describes it as "SSU rRNA". It matches the Rfam family "Eukaryotic small subunit ribosomal RNA", at positions 587 to 972 of the family's 1831-position model. The record is from RNAcentral.